UACGAAGGGGGCUAGCGUUGUUCGGAAUCACUGGGCGUAAAGGGCGCGUAGGCGGCCCUCUUUGUCGCGUGUGAAAGCCCCGGGCUCAACCUGGGAACGGCGCGCGAAACGGGGGGGCUGGAGUUCGGGAGAGGAGAGUGGAAUUCCCAGUGUAGAGGUGAAAUUCGUAGAUAUUGGGAAGAACACCGGUGGCGAAGGCGGCUCUCUGGACCGAGACUGACGCUGAGGCGCGAAAGCGUGGGGAGCAAACAGG
Molecule: ribosomal RNA, 253 nt
Filed under: uncultured bacterium
Lineage: Bacteria
Description: partial 16S ribosomal RNA
Rfam family: Bacterial small subunit ribosomal RNA
Source: RNAcentral